GAUGAACGCUAGCUACAGGCUUAACACAUGCAAGUCGAGGGGAAACGAUAGAGAAAGCUUGCUUUUUCUAGGCGUCGACCGGCGCACGGGUGAGUAACGCGUAUCCAACCUGCCCACCACUUGGGGAUAACCUUGCGAAAGUAAGACUAAUACCCAAUGACGUCUCUAGAAGACAUCUGAAAGAGAUUAAAGAUUUAUCGGUGAUGGAUGGGGAUGCGUCUGAUUAGCUUGUUGGCGGGGUAACGGCCCACCAAGGCGACGAUCAGUAGGGGUUCUGAGAGGAAGGUCCCCCCACAUUGGAACUGAGACACGGUCCAAACUCCUACGGGAGGCAGCAGUGAGGAAUAUUGGUCAAUGGGCGAGAGCCUGAACCAGCCAAGUAGCGUGAAGGAUGACUGCCCUAUGGGUUGUAAACUUCUUUUAUAAAGGAUAAAGUCGGGUAUGGAUACCCGUUUGCAUGUACUUUAUGAAUAAGGAUCGGCUAACUCCGUG
This 492-nucleotide ribosomal RNA is filed under the name uncultured bacterium. Its description in RNAcentral is "bacterial SSU rRNA". It matches the Rfam family "Bacterial small subunit ribosomal RNA", at positions 28 to 507 of the family's 1533-position model. The record is from RNAcentral.